GAUGAACGCUGGCGGCGUGCCUAACACAUGCAAGUCGAGCGAUUUACUUCGGUAAAGAGCGGCGGACGGGUGAGUAACGCGUGGGUAACCUGCCCUGUACACACGGAUAACAUACCGAAAGGUAUGCUAAUACGAGAUAAUAUACUUUUAUCUCAUGGUAGAAGUAUCAAAGCUCUGGCGGUACAGGAUGGACCCGCGUCUGAUUAGCUAGUUGGUAAGGUAACGGCUUACCAAGGCGACGAUCAGUAGCCGACCUGAGAGGGUGAUCGGCCACAUUGGAACUGAGACACGGUCCAAACUCCUACGGGAGGCAGCAGUGGGGAAUAUUGCACAAUGGGCGAAAGCCUGAUGCAGCAAUGCCGCGUGAGCGAUGAAGGCCUCGGUCGUAAGACUCUGUCCUCAAGGAAG
Molecule: ribosomal RNA, 408 nt
Filed under: uncultured bacterium
Lineage: Bacteria
Description: bacterial SSU rRNA
Rfam family: Bacterial small subunit ribosomal RNA
Source: RNAcentral